Molecule: ribosomal RNA, 253 nt
Filed under: uncultured bacterium
Lineage: Bacteria
Description: partial 16S ribosomal RNA
Rfam family: Bacterial small subunit ribosomal RNA
Source: RNAcentral
UACGGAGGGUGCAAGCGUUAUCCGGAUUCACUGGGUUUAAAGGGUGCGUAGGUGGAGUGGUAAGUCAGUGGUGAAAUCUCUUCGCUUAACGAAGAAACUGCCAUUGAUACUGCAAGUCUAGAGUAUAGAUGACGUUGGCGGAAUAUGACAUGUAGUGGUGAAAUACUUAGAUAUGUCAUAGAACACCGAUUGCGAAGGCAGCUAACGAAACUAUAACUGACGCUGAGGCACGAAAGUGCGGGGAUCAAACAGG